URURCUMACNUMCAGAUAACGGCGAGUGAAGCGGCAACAGCUCAAAUUUGAAAUCUGGCCCCCAGGGCCCGAGUUGUAAUUUGCAGAGGAUGCUUUUGGCGCGGUGCCUUCCGAGUUCCCUGGAACGGGACGCCAUAGAGGGUGAGAGCCCCGUCUGGUCGGACGCCUAGCCUGUGUAAAGCUCCUUCGACGAGUCGAGUAGUUUGGGAAUGCUGCUCUAAAUGGGAGGUAUAUGUCUUCUAAAGCUAAAUACCGGCCAGAGACCGAUAGCGCACAAGUAGAGUGAUCGAAAGAUGAAAAGCACUUUGAAAAGAGGGUUAAAUAGUACGUGAAAUUGUUGAAAGGGAAGCGCUUGUGACCAGACUUGGGCCCGGUGGAUCAUCCAGCGUUCUCGCUGGUGCACUCCGCCGGGUUCAGGCCAGCAUCAGUUCGCCGCGGGGGAAAAAGGCUUCGGGAACGUGGCUCCUACGGGAGUGUUAUAGCCCGUUGCAUAAUACCCUGGGGCGGACUGAGGUUCGCGCUCCGCAAGGAUGCUGGCGUAAUGGUCAUCAGCGACCCGUCUUGAAACACGGACCAAGGAGUCGUCUUCGUAUGCGAGUGUUCGGGUGUAAAACCCCUACGCGUAAUGAAAGUGAACGCAGGUGAGAGCUUCGGCGCAUCAUCGACCGAUCCUGAUGUUCUCGGAUGGAUUUGAGUAAGAGCAUACGGGGCCGGACCCGAAAGAAGGUGAACUAUGCCUGUAUAGGGUGAAGCCAGAGGAAACUCUGGUGGAGGCUCGCAGCGGUUCUGACGUGCAAAUCGAUCGUCA
Molecule: ribosomal RNA, 808 nt
Filed under: Purpureocillium lilacinum
Lineage: Eukaryota; Fungi; Ascomycota; Sordariomycetes; Hypocreales; Ophiocordycipitaceae
Description: partial large subunit ribosomal RNA
Source: RNAcentral